Molecule: unclassified non-coding RNA, 327 nt
Filed under: soil metagenome
Description: partial contains 5.8S ribosomal RNA, internal transcribed spacer 2, and large subunit ribosomal RNA
Rfam family: 5.8S ribosomal RNA (bases 1-120)
Source: RNAcentral
GAUGAAGAACGUAGCGAAAUGCGAUAAGUAAUGUGAAUUGCAGAAUUCAGUGAAUCAUCGAAUCUUUGAACGCACAUUGCGCCCUUUGGUAUUCCGAAGGGCAUGCCUGUUCGAGCGUCAUUUCACCACUCAAGCCUGGCUUGGUAUUGGGCGCCGCGGUCGAUCCGCGCGCCUCAAAGUCUCCGGCUGAGCUGUCCGUCUCUAAGCGUUGUGAUUUCAUUAAUCGCUUCGGAGUGCGGGCGGCCGCGGCCGUUAAAUCUUUCAUAAGGUUGACCUCGGAUCAGGUAGGGAUACCCGCUGAACUUAAGCAUAUCAAUAAGCGGAGGA